GGUUCCCAGAGGAUGAAAUGUCAGCCUCCGGCGGCAGCGACAUUCACCCAGAAGCACUAAAAAUAGACUCAAAAACAGAAGCAUCGAGUCUCUGGAGGCUGGAGGCAUAAGAUGAGGAAACUGGAACUCAAAGAAGGGAAGCAUUUGGUGAAGGGCACAAGAGAAAAUGGCAGACCUGAGGCCCAGACAGGAGCAGAUGACCAUCUGAAACAUUGCUUGCAUGGAGAAAUCUGCUUCAACAUGGUGGCUGUGCUGAGAAUGGAAACCGGGUUCCAGAA
Molecule: long non-coding RNA, 278 nt
Organism: Felis catus (domestic cat)
Lineage: Eukaryota; Metazoa; Chordata; Mammalia; Carnivora; Felidae
Exons: 2
Source: RefSeq, a predicted model, not a curated record